UGGCGCCGGCGGCGUCCGCCUGAGCAGCGCGGGCAACAGCGGCGGCGUUGGCCGGAUCGGGCCGCGACUCCUCCUGGCCAUGGGGGACGUGCUUUCCACGCACCUGGACGACGCCCGGCGCCAGCACAUCGCAGAAAAAACCGGGAAGAUCCUGACGGAGUUCCUCCAGUUCUAUGAAGACCAGUAUGGCGUGGCUCUCUUCAACAGCAUGCGCCAUGAGAUUGAGGGCACGGGGCUGCCGCAGGCCCAGCUGCUCUGGCGCAAGGUGCCGCUGGACGAGCGCAUCGUCUUCUCGGGGAACCUCUUCCAGCACCAGGAGGACAGCAAGAAGUGGAGAAACCGCUUCAGCCUCGUGCCCCACAACUACGGGCUGGUGCUCUACGAAAACAAAGCGGCCUAUGAGCGGCAGGUCCCACCACGAGCCGUCAUCAACAGUGCAGGCUACAAAAUCCUCACGUCCGUGGACCAAUACCUGGAGCUCAUUGGCAACUCCUUACCAGGUUCAUCCUGGUGGAAAACACGUACGAGGAGGUGGUGCUGCAGACCGUCAUGAAGGACAUCCUGCAGGCUGUGAAGGAGGCCGCGGUGCAGAGGAAGCACAACCUCUACCGGGACAGCAUGGUCAUGCACAACAGUGACCCCAACCUGCACCUGCUGGCCGAGGGCGCCCCCAUCGACUGGGGCGAGGAGUACAGCAACAGCGGCGGGGGCGGCAGCCCCAGCCCCAGCACCCCGGAGGCAGCCACGCUCUCGGAAAAGCGACGGCGCGCCAAGCAGGUGGUCUCCGUGGUCCAGGAUGAGGAGGCGGGGCUGCCCUUUGAGGCUAGC
This 828-nucleotide small RNA is filed under the name Pan troglodytes (chimpanzee). RNAcentral's name for it is "processed transcript". The record is from RNAcentral. Lineage: Eukaryota; Metazoa; Chordata; Mammalia; Primates; Hominidae.